Molecule: unclassified non-coding RNA, 811 nt
Filed under: Hevea brasiliensis (rubber tree)
Lineage: Eukaryota; Viridiplantae; Streptophyta; Magnoliopsida; Malpighiales; Euphorbiaceae
Source: RNAcentral
CCUCCCUCAUUGAUUUCGAUUAGUGGGGUUGUAGAUUGCUUUGUCAUGGUGUACAACACGGCAUUGGUCGAAAAUUUUGUGUCAUGGCUAAAGUUGUGUAUGAAUUGGCAACACUGUGUUUAUUAAAUUAUUUGACUAAAUUUGUGUUUUAAUGAGCUUUGGAAAUUGUGAGAUAAAAUUGUGAAAUAUUUAAAUUGUGAUUUGUCAAUGAAUGUUUUAUAUUAAGCGUUUGUGAAAUAUUUAAAAUAUGAUUUGAAAUUGUGAAACAUAAUUGUAAAAGGUUUUAAUUAUGACUUGCCAAUGCAUGUUUUAUUUACAGUAUUUUAAGUUUUAUUAUGCACCACUGAGUAAAUUUAUACUCAGCGAUAGCUUCCUUUGCUGUCGCAGAUAGAGAAAAGGACAUAGCAGCAGAGUGAGCUGCUACAAUAAGAGAGGAGCGCGGUUUUGGAGAUUUUUGUACUGGUAUUUAUCGAUACCCUUGUAAUUAUUUUGAUGUAAAUAGUUUAGAGUCGUAUGUAUUAAUGUAACAUUGAGCAGCUGUACAGUAAAUUGUAAUAAUAUUAUCUUUUGGAUUUUUAUGUCUGUAAAUUAAAUUAUAUAUGUAAAUUUAAUUUAAUGCAAUGUUUAUGAGUUUAUCGAAUUAUUUUGAAAAAAAUUUUGAGUUGUGAAUUUUGAAUUGAAACUUGAUUGAAUUGUAUUGAUUUGAGAAUAUAUUGGCGGUUGGGGGUUGAGAAAUGAAAUCAUUGGGAGUGUUUUUACAGGUUUUGAAGAACUGGUUUUUCCCAAUUAUAGACGGUACUCUGCCGAAAUU